Molecule: long non-coding RNA, 910 nt
Filed under: Salvia miltiorrhiza (redroot sage)
Lineage: Eukaryota; Viridiplantae; Streptophyta; Magnoliopsida; Lamiales; Lamiaceae
Description: long non-coding RNA (SMIL_LNC010872)
Source: RNAcentral
UUUAUAACUUUAUGUAUUUACUUCAUUUGCCAUUGAGGACCCACCUCAAUAAUUAAAAACUCUCAUCACUUAAACUUAAUUAAAGACAAUUAACCAUAAAAUUCUCACUCUAAUUUCUUAUACACGCACACCUCUUCUCUCUCACCAAACCUACACCCUUCUUCCCCUUCCCCUUCCCCUCUUCCCCGGCGUGGUUCCUCCUCCGGCGAGGCUCGGACCCGACCUACGCCCCUCUUCCCCUUCUCCUCUCCGGCAGCAGCUAGGUCGUCGCCGCCGCUGUGCCUCGGCUCACCGCCCCCAUCAACUCUUCUAGAUCUCUCUAGAGUGGUGCGGCGUCUCUCACCUUCUUCUUCAUCGUCUGAAAGCACCGCCUCACUGAUCUCCGAUGGAUCUGUUGCCAUAUCGCCGCCUCGCUUCUUCUUCUUCACCCUAAGCGCCGUCUCCCUCAAAUCUCCGCCUCCAUCUCAGCCCAAAACCCCAAAUCGCCGCCCCCCUCUGAGCUUGAAACCAUAAGGCGCUGCCUCCCUCGAAUCGCCGCCUCCGGCUGGUCUUGAUUCUCUCGGAGCACCACGGGAACUCGCUCUCGCCCUACCUCUCGUCGUCGUCUGCAACGCCAACUCCUUCGUCCGCUCUGCCUGCGUGAGUAGCUUCAAGGCGAAGCUGGCGCUUCUCGCACUGGUGAGGAGCUUGGUAGCGGUGGAUGGAGUGAUGCGGCAGAAGAAUGUCUUCAAUUUGGUUUGGAAUUUUCUAGAUUUGUUGCUGGAAUUUAUUGAAUUUCUUUACCCAUGAAUGCCCUAAAUUUGUUGAAUUUUCUCACUCGAUUCGUUGAAUGCCAAAAUUUGUUUGUAGUUUGUUGAAUUUGCUCAAUCGAUUUCUUUACCCAUUUGCUGAAUUUGUUGAAAUUGCUGAA